RNA transcript from Zea mays, 1695 nucleotides. It is a transcript of the gene named V-type proton ATPase subunit E-like pseudogene, with no coding region annotated. Lineage: Eukaryota; Viridiplantae; Streptophyta; Magnoliopsida; Poales; Poaceae. The record is from RefSeq and is marked validated. The transcript has 3 exons.
GACAACGGCUUCUCGGAUGCUAGGGCACCUGCCACCCACCCAUCUCCCUCCCAUCCCAGAUCCCUCGCGCCAUGGCCAACGCCUCCCCCCAGUGGCUUACGCUAGCGCACCUGCCCACCUCCCUCCCUCUCCCCCGCCCAGCCAUGGCCAUCGCCUUUGACUCUCCGACCUCCUCCCCCGCUGAAAUUCCUGCUCUGAAAUACGCUCGCUUCUGCUGCCUAGAUCUGGUACCCCUGUUGUCACCACGUUUUUGCCACCACCGUCACCAGCUCAGAGCUUUCCCUCCAUUGCUUCCUCCUCGUCGUGGUCUCCUCUGUGUCACUCCGCUCGAGCUCGCCAUCCUCUUGCCAGCGCGACUCCGUGGAGCGUGCGAGACAGUGCCGGUGGCCGCGGAGACCCGCCACGGGGACAUGGAGGGGUAGGUGUUGCCACAGUUCGUAGAUUUCAACGCCUGGUACACACACGCGAUCUCCACUACCGAGCUCGUGGACUACAGACUCCAAAACUAAAUCAACAAGUUGGAGAUCCUCCUUCCUGCAGCGCAGAAGCACAGCUGGUUCUUUCAGGCGCAGCAAACUCUGUUCAGAUAAAAAUUUGUGUUAACUGAUGCUCAAAUUACUGAAGAAUGGAAUAGAGGAGCUGCACCAAGUUCACGCUUCAUAUUCGCAGAGAAGAAUGCAAACUAUGUUCUGCUUACCUGAACAAUAAGUGUCUUGAGAAGCUUCUUGUAAGUGAGGUGAUCUCUACUUAUGCGCAGUAGCUCUUUGCUUGCUGACUUCAACAUAUCUGUUACCAAAUCAUCCUGAGCUUGAAGGACUUUAAUUCUAGAAGCAUUGAGCUGCAUUGAGUAAUCACUGCAUAAGACCACACACAGUAAUAUCAGUGAAUUGAUAUUUUUUACACAAAAGAAAAAUAGUAUGGUCACCGGCAUAUGCUAAAGUGGGGAAAUAUCCAUAAUGGCCCGUAGACAAUAGUAGCUAUGAAGUGUGACAUAGGUAAAACAGAAACAAGUCACAAGAAUGGGAAUAAGAAAUUGAGUUAGAACUGCUAUUUACAUUUUCUUCUUGAUGCCAAUAACUUGCUAGCUGGAUUCCACCGUGGUCAAGCCUUGUGAUGAAAUCAGAUGAUGAUGACGCAAUUGGCUUCUGUGACCUACAAUUAUGGGCAUGCUGAUGCUACCUAGAACCUCACUACACUGGAUGACAGGUGAAUAAGCAGACAAUAGUUGAGUGUUGUCAUCAGGUUGCAUCUACCAUGACUGAGAUUGUGAGCUUAUGUAUCUAUCGAUCAUUGUAUUACUCACUCUUUCUCAGUAUAAGUUGAAUACUCAGCAUACUAUAUAUAUAUAUGUGAUACAGCGCCCGAUAGGGCGCUACUUUUUCUAGUGUAGCAUACAAGCUCCAAUCGGUUGGCUUUGGUGACAAUGGAGGGAGGAGGGAAGGGUAGUGGAGUUUGGUAUAUAGAUCCACCCAGAUGGAGUGGAGUACAGUACAAUGAUAGACAGUGAAGAGACGAGAAGAUUCAAUUUUAUUUGAGUUGAGCCUCAAAGUUAUCUACAACAGUCCACUCUACAGUACUAUAGUGGGCAACAAAUGUAUGGACAUAUGCACGCUUUGUUAGUCAAAAGGUUUAGAAAUUUAGGUGUGGGAGAAAGAAAAAAAAUAACCUUGUGAACUGCGAAGUUUUUUUUCUCUU